CCAGGGGGCCGGGCAGCCGCGUCAUAGCUUGCUAUGCCGAGGAAAGUCCGGGCUCCACGAAACAAGGGUGGCGGGUAACGCCCGCCGAGGGCAACCUCAGGGAAAGUGCCACAGAGAGCAGACCGCUCCUUCGACAAGCUCAGGAUGAGCGGACUCGACGGAGUAAGGGUGAAAGGGUGCGGUAAGAGCGCACCGCGCGGCUGGCAACAGGCGCGGCAUGGUAAACCCCACCCGGAGCAAGACCGAAUAGGGGCGGCGCGCCGAGGGCCUUCGGGCCUGACAGCAGAUGUGUUUCGCAUCGACCGCCCGGGUUGGUUGCUUGAGCCAGGCAGCAAUGCCUGGCCUAGAGGAAUGGCUGCCAGUGCGGAUACGGUCUCUUUUGGGAUACCGUCCACGCUACAGAACCCGGCUUACAGGCCCCCUGGCGAA
RNAcentral lists this RNase P RNA (429 nucleotides) under Novosphingobium sp. Its description in RNAcentral is "RNase P RNA component class A". It matches the Rfam family "Bacterial RNase P class A". From Rfam's summary of the family: Ribonuclease P (RNase P) is a ubiquitous endoribonuclease, found in archaea, bacteria and eukarya as well as chloroplasts and mitochondria. Lineage: Bacteria; Pseudomonadati; Pseudomonadota; Alphaproteobacteria; Sphingomonadales; Sphingomonadaceae. The record is from RNAcentral.